This 261-nucleotide long non-coding RNA is filed under the name Brassica napus (rape). Its description in RNAcentral is "long non-coding RNA (BNAP_LNC022460)". Lineage: Eukaryota; Viridiplantae; Streptophyta; Magnoliopsida; Brassicales; Brassicaceae. The record is from RNAcentral.
GCGAUCUUGUUCGUCUUCUAGUUUCUAGUGUUUGGCAUCUGGGCAUCGCGUUCUCACGCUCACGCUUCCACUUGAACAUUCUUCUUCAUCCUCAUUCUCCUGGUUUGUUUGUGUUACUCUUUUGUUUUUGUAUGUCUCUGUCAAUAUCGUUUACAUCUUUCUAUUAGAAGAAGAAAAAUGUACAAUUAUUUGUUCCCAUAAAAAAAAGAAACUGUUCUGUCUCUCUGUUAUUAGUCCAUGCCGGUUUCUUCUGCAUAGGUC